CGAUACAUAGGGGGACUGAGAGGUUAACCCCCCCACACUGGUACUGAGACACGGACCAGACUCCUACGGGAGGCAGCAGUGAGGAAUAUUGGUCAAUGGACGCAAGUCUGAACCAGCCAUGCCGCGUGCGAGGAAGACGGCUCUAUGAGUUGUAAACUGUUUUUGUACGAGGGUAAACUCACCUACGUGUAGGUGACGAAAGAUC
RNAcentral lists this ribosomal RNA (205 nucleotides) under uncultured Bacteroidales bacterium. RNAcentral describes it as "partial 16S ribosomal RNA". It matches the Rfam family "Bacterial small subunit ribosomal RNA", at positions 277 to 477 of the family's 1533-position model. Lineage: Bacteria; Pseudomonadati; Bacteroidota; Bacteroidia; Bacteroidales. The record is from RNAcentral.